RNAcentral lists this long non-coding RNA (410 nucleotides) under Ictidomys tridecemlineatus (thirteen-lined ground squirrel). Its description in RNAcentral is "lncRNA (ENSSTOG00000034473.1)". Lineage: Eukaryota; Metazoa; Chordata; Mammalia; Rodentia; Sciuridae. The record is from RNAcentral.
UCACCCAAAACCUGCUAAAACAUAUUUUUCUAUUUUACAGAUAAGAAAACUGAGGAAGUCUUAAGGACUCAUACUUCAUGGAAGACCUAGUUUCGGAAGUUGAGUUUCUGCACGUGAACUCCCUUAAAGUCUGUUGCAGAAGGAAUGAAAGUUAUGUCCAUGCUCAAACACCAUUUGAGAUGUUAAAGUCAAGAGAAAUCCAAGUCUCCUCCCCUCAUUCCCCAGACACAGCCAGUACUGUUUAUCUCCUUGGACCUGGGCAAAUGCAAAAGGGUCAAAUUGGACUUCUUCUGGGAUCAGGAACGAAUCAGUCCUACAUCCAUCCUGUGAGCACCCAUGGUGUGCAUUCUUCCUCUGUUCCGCAUUCACAUUCAGUAGGAAAUGAACUGAAUUCAUUCUGUGGGAAGUGA